UAUGACCAUAUAUGAUAACAGUUUCGGGUUGUUUGCCGACAUAGCUUGACAUAGCUGGGAAAAAAACCAAGCAUGUAAUUAAAUGAACUCCAUUGGUUCCGAAAGUUAAUUGUUGUACAUUAGACUGCAAUGAUUGGUUGGUCUGGGAGGGGUAAGUUGUUGAUCACGUGAUUACGAGCUGAAGCCCGGAUGAAGCGUGUAGCUAGCUCCCGGCCAGUCUUGUCUCGGAAGUUGUAGUAUUAACAUCUAACUUGUAUGUAACGUGAAAUUGAGAAUAUAUAUCUUAUUUGUAUUAAGACUCAGAUAUACUAUUGUGUAGAUUCAAUUCAAGUACAUUUUAACUAUUUGUGAAUAGUGUUUUCAAGUUAUUAAUUAAAGUAAUUGUUUUGGACGAAGAGAAGUUUCUUCAUUGAAUUUAGAUCGUACUUAGAUCAUAUUUGUCAAGUUGUAAAUCCUAGACGAUCCUCUUAUUAAUUGGCAACAUUCUAUAUGAUCGUAUUAUCAACAUAGAUCUGUCUACUUCUAUACGAUCAUCUUAUCGAAAGAUCAUUUCAAGAUCCUCGGCAAUCACGAUCAUUGAUGGUACAAUAUAGUUCAAGUUUGAUCGUGACAGUAGCACAAUCUUAGAUUGUGACAUCAACACCAUUGAUGAUCGUGACAGGGAUCUACUACAACUGCUCAUGAAUUUUGAGAUUGUACAGCAAAUAGAGGUACAAAUUUUAUCUGCUUCCACUUAGACAAACAGCAUGGAAAUGUGCUAUUGUAAUGAGUAGAAGAUAUUUGUCAUUUAGAGUAUCAUGUGUCAUUGACUUAUGAAAACAUAAUGCAACAGCAAAUUAUCAGUCAGCACAUUUCAAGAUGAGGAAAAGAACAGUAUAAGCUACAUUCAUUGAUGCAUAAUUUAUACAAAAUGUAUAGUCAACCCAGUCAUCAGUCCAUUUUUUUAUGAGGCCAGUUAUAGUUACAAUGAAGGGAUGAAAUUUCAGAUAAUAUUCUGUUUGUUUUAUGAAAUGAGAAUAGACCUACAUUAGAAAUUGAAAUGGUCAGCUUCAGUAUUUAAUGUUUCAUUUAAAAAUGAUAAUUUUAUUAAUACAUAUUUGAUGUACAAACAAAUGUUUUUGUAAAAUGUUUGUAAAAUGUUUCACAUGUUUCGGAUGUUCCUUCAGAGUUGAAGAUAGUUUACUUCCUAGUCCAAACCUCCUGCAGGACGACGGGGGAUGGGAGCGGGCAGGGUUUGAACCCUCGGCAAAUCCAAAUGACAGUCCAGCGCCCAAGCCGCAUGACCAGGCAGCCAUGAAUGAAUGAAAACCAUUCAAACACUUUUUUUUGUGAAGUAUAGAUGAUUAAACUUGUAAGUGUCUAAACAAUA
Biomphalaria glabrata is the source of this 1369-nucleotide long non-coding RNA. RefSeq lists it as uncharacterized. The transcript is spliced from 2 exons. The record is from RefSeq and is a predicted model, not a curated record. NCBI's taxonomy places the organism in Eukaryota, Metazoa, Mollusca, Gastropoda, Planorbidae.